Molecule: ribosomal RNA, 1427 nt
Filed under: Burkholderia cepacia
Lineage: Bacteria; Pseudomonadati; Pseudomonadota; Betaproteobacteria; Burkholderiales; Burkholderiaceae
Also listed under: 1 other name
Description: bacterial SSU rRNA
Rfam family: Bacterial small subunit ribosomal RNA
Source: RNAcentral
AUGCAGUCGAGCGAAUGGAUUAAGAGCUUGCUCUUAUGAAGUUAGCGGCGGACGGGUGAGUAACACGUGGGUAACCUGCCCAUAAGACUGGGAUAACUCCGGGAAACCGGGGCUAAUACCGGAUAACAUUUUGAACCGCAUGGUUCGAAAUUGAAAGGCGGCUUCGGCUGUCACUUAUGGAUGGACCCGCGUCGCAUUAGCUAGUUGGUGAGGUAACGGCUCACCAAGGCAACGAUGCGUAGCCGACCUGAGAGGGUGAUCGGCCACACUGGGACUGAGACACGGCCCAGACUCCUACGGGAGGCAGCAGUAGGGAAUCUUCCGCAAUGGACGAAAGUCUGACGGAGCAACGCCGCGUGAGUGAUGAAGGCUUUCGGGUCGUAAAACUCUGUUGUUAGGGAAGAACAAGUGCUAGUUGAAUAAGCUGGCACCUUGACGGUACCUAACCAGAAAGCCACGGCUAACUACGUGCCAGCAGCCGCGGUAAUACGUAGGUGGCAAGCGUUAUCCGGAAUUAUUGGGCGUAAAGCGCGCGCAGGUGGUUUCUUAAGUCUGAUGUGAAAGCCCACGGCUCAACCGUGGAGGGUCAUUGGAAACUGGGAGACUUGAGUGCAGAAGAGGAAAGUGGAAUUCCAUGUGUAGCGGUGAAAUGCGUAGAGAUAUGGAGGAACACCAGUGGCGAAGGCGACUUUCUGGUCUGUAACUGACACUGAGGCGCGAAAGCGUGGGGAGCAAACAGGAUUAGAUACCUGGUAGUCCACGCCGUAAACGAUGAGUGCUAAGUGUUAGAGGGUUUCCGCCCUUUAGUGCUGAAGUUAACGCAUUAAGCACUCCGCCUGGGGAGUACGGCCGCAAGGCUGAAACUCAAAGGAAUUGACGGGGGCCCGCACAAGCGGUGGAGCAUGUGGUUUAAUUCGAAGCAACGCGAAGAACCUUACCAGGUCUUGACAUCCUCUGAAAACCCUAGAGAUAGGGCUUCUCCUUCGGGAGCAGAGUGACAGGUGGUGCAUGGUUGUCGUCAGCUCGUGUCGUGAGAUGUUGGGUUAAGUCCCGCAACGAGCGCAACCCUUGAUCUUAGUUGCCAUCAUUAAGUUGGGCACUCUAAGGUGACUGCCGGUGACAAACCGGAGGAAGGUGGGGAUGACGUCAAAUCAUCAUGCCCCUUAUGACCUGGGCUACACACGUGCUACAAUGGACGGUACAAAGAGCUGCAAGACCGCGAGGUGGAGCUAAUCUCAUAAAACCGUUCUCAGUUCGGAUUGUAGGCUGCAACUCGCCUACAUGAAGCUGGAAUCGCUAGUAAUCGCGGAUCAGCAUGCCGCGGUAAAUACGUUCCCGGGCCUUGUACACACCGCCCGUCACACCACGAGAGUUUGUAACACCCGAAGUCGGUGGGGUAACCUUUUGGAGCCAGCCGCCUAAGGUGA